This 82-nucleotide transfer RNA is filed under the name Candidatus Nealsonbacteria bacterium CG_4_8_14_3_um_filter_39_7. RNAcentral describes it as "tRNA-Leu". It matches the Rfam family "tRNA". From Rfam's summary of the family: Transfer RNA (tRNA) molecules are approximately 80 nucleotides in length. Their secondary structure includes four short double-helical elements and three loops (D, anti-codon, and T loops). RNAcentral also lists the same sequence under 1 other name. Lineage: Bacteria; Candidatus Nealsoniibacteriota. The record is from RNAcentral.
GCCCCUGUGGCGGAACUGGCAUACGCGUGCGGUUCAGAACCGCAUCCUGCAAGGGUUAGAGGUUCAAAUCCUCUCAGGGGCA